GCCUACGGGGGGCAGCAGUGGGGAAUAUUGCGCAAUGGGCGAAAGCCUGACGCAGCGACGCCGCGUGAGGGAUGAAGGUCUUCGGAUCGUAAACCUCUGUCAGCAGGGAAGAACGGUCACUGUGCUAAUCAGCAGUGAAUUGACGGUACCUGCAAAGGAAGCACCGGCUAACUCCGUGCCAGCAGCCGCGGUAAUACGGAGGGUGCGAGCGUUAAUCGGAAUUACUGGGCGUAAAGCGCUCGUAGGCGGUAUGGUAAGUCAAGGGUGAAAUCCCCGGGCUCAACGUGGGAACUGCCUUUGAUACUGGGAAACUAGAGUGUUGGAGAGGGAAGUGGAAUUCUAGGUGUAGGAGUGAAAUGCGUAGAUAUCGGGAGGAACACUAGUGGCGAAGGCGAGUACCUGGAACUUAACUGACGCUGAGGAGCGAAAGCGAGGGGAGCGAACGGGAUUAGAUACCCGAGUAGUC
Molecule: ribosomal RNA, 466 nt
Filed under: uncultured bacterium
Lineage: Bacteria
Description: partial 16S ribosomal RNA
Rfam family: Bacterial small subunit ribosomal RNA
Source: RNAcentral